UACUAGUCAUCUCAAACACUUAUGUUUUGAAUUAUUCAGUCGCCAAACGGAUUUUCAUUUCCUACUUACUUAAACGCAAAGAAAACAUAUCGAAGUGGAUGAGCAGGGGCCACGGUUUUUCGAAGGGUGAAUAACGCUAUCUACUGCAUAAAUUUCUAUCCAGUGAAUAGCGCAGUAUGCGUUCUCGUAGCACUUAUCCGCUCUAUACCCAAUUUUUCUUUGGGAUAGCGUUGUCCGCUCUUUGAAUAAUUAGGCCCAGGAAAUUAAGGUACGUGUUGAACUAUCUUCGAGAUGGAAACCUUUUCUGCCCAAAUGACAACAAAGUCCAAAGGGAGCUGCUUGCAGAAGCCAGGUUUUAUCAAAUUCAAGGGAUAAUCACUGAUCUGGAAGAAAAAAUUCCCUUUGAAUCCACGUUGAUAUUAAAGAAUGAGGCUCAUCAUUCCAUUCUCCUAUCGUGGCUGCCGCCAGGUGCUAAUUGUUCAUUGCUGUACCAAGCCUCUUUUGAUGGACAAACUCCAGCUGACUUCCAUCGUUGCUGCGAUGAUAGAGGUCCCACUAUUGUGGUGAUUAGAGUCGGGCCGUAUGUCUUUGAAGGCUUUUCGUCACAAUCGUGGGAAUCGGCGUUUCAACUAAAAGCCAAGCAAGACAGCCAUUUCAGUUCCUGUUUACGUUGGUAAAUCCUUUUGGAACAAAGCCCAUGAAGAUAGCUACGAAGACAAAUGCAAGUAUACAUUGUAAAAGUGAUUUGGGACCAACAUUCGGUACCGCUUCCACACAGUGUUAUGAUCUUCAAGUCUGGUCGACAAUCGGUAGCAAUCUUGACCUUGGUUUUGGCUUGAAGUGUCCUGACAAUGUUGAUAAAAAGAAGUAUUUCUGCGGCACGUGUCCAUUUAACAUCGAUGAUCUGGAAGUUUUUAAAGUUAUCUUUUAAAGUUAACUUUAGUUAAGUUAAGUUAUCUUAAGUUAUCUUUUAAAGUUAUCUUUUAGAAGCAAAAUCUGCUUUUUGAAAUACGAGAUGAGUAUUUCAGGAUACAGUUGACUUUUAAAUACUAAAUAUAACCGUCUACUUGAGAUAAUAACCCAGUUUUGAAUAGCACACUUUUCAGGCUAACUGAGAAAAAGAAGUUUUGUAAAUUGCUAUAAGGUAACAAAUGCCAGACAGAACAUGU
This 1169-nucleotide unclassified non-coding RNA is filed under the name Stylophora pistillata. Its description in RNAcentral is "bTB/POZ domain-containing protein KCTD15-like, transcript variant X1". The record is from RNAcentral. Lineage: Eukaryota; Metazoa; Cnidaria; Anthozoa; Scleractinia; Pocilloporidae.